This 404-nucleotide ribosomal RNA is filed under the name uncultured microorganism. RNAcentral's name for it is "bacterial SSU rRNA". It matches the Rfam family "Archaeal small subunit ribosomal RNA", at positions 330 to 735 of the family's 1478-position model. The record is from RNAcentral.
GUGCAGCAGGCGCGAAAACUUCACAAUGUGCGAAAGCACGAUGAGGGAAUCCCAAGUGCUUGCACGUAAGUGUAAGCUGUUUCUCUGUCUAAAACGCAGAGAGAGUAAGGGCUGGGUAAGUCGGGUGCCAGCCGCCGCGGUAAUACCUGCAGCUCGAGUGGUGACCGUUAUUAUUGGGCCUAAAACGUCCGUAGCCGGUUUAAUAAAUGCCUGGGUAAAUCGGACCGCUUAACGGUUCGAAUUCCGGGUAGACUGUUAAACUUGAGACCGGGAGAAGCUAGAGGUACUCCUGGGGUAGAGGUGAAAUUCUGUAAUCCUAGGGGGACCACCAGUGGCGAAGGCGUCUAGCUAGAACGGGUCUGACGGUGAGGGACGAAGCCCUGGGGCGCAAACGGGAUUAGAUA